CUAAGGUAGCAUAAUCAUUAGUUUUUUAAUUGAAAACUUGUAUGAAUGGUUGAACAAAAGAAUAACUGUCUCUUUAUCUAAUAUUGAAUUUACCUUUUAAGUGAAAAGGCUUAAAUUUUUUAAGGGGACGAUAAGACCCUAUAAAGCUUUAUAAUUAAAUAGUAUUUUAUAAAUAUAAUUUAUAAAAAUAAAGUAAAAUAAUCUUAUUUUGUUGGGGCGACAUAGAUAUAAAUACAUAUAACUGUCAAAAAAUAAUACAUAAAUUUAUGAAUAAUAAAAUGAUCCUUAUUUUAAAGAUUAAAAGACUAAG
This 310-nucleotide ribosomal RNA is filed under the name Pugettia sp. Its description in RNAcentral is "partial large subunit ribosomal RNA". Lineage: Eukaryota; Metazoa; Arthropoda; Malacostraca; Decapoda; Epialtidae. The record is from RNAcentral.